Molecule: long non-coding RNA, 430 nt
Organism: Drosophila yakuba
Lineage: Eukaryota; Metazoa; Arthropoda; Insecta; Diptera; Drosophilidae
Exons: 2
Source: RefSeq, a predicted model, not a curated record
UUUAUAGAAUGCGACGAUCCAGAUCCAACGGAGUCCCUCUAGUCCACGAUGCAGUUCGACCUUUUUGCCGUUCGGCGGCGUUAGACCAUUGUCUACUUAGUGGCACCACUGCAUAUGUACACUUAUAUUCCAUAUUGUGAGCAUACUUUUAGGAUAAUAGGGCGCUGGGCAAUAACAUUCUAAACUGGACAUUUUUAUACCCGUUACUAAAAGGGUAUACUUAAUUUGUUCAAAAGCCCCGAAAUUAAAACGGAGUGAAAAUGAACGCAGCCUAAAGCGGAGCGGCAAAACAUCAAAGUUCCUGUCGCACUUGAAAAAUAGGUAUAAGUAGAAGUAAAAGUUCAAAAUGUAUAAAAAUAUAACCGUUUAAAAUAUGUUAACUACCUGGACUGGUUCCGAUUUAAAAUCCUUUAUUGUUUUUUUUUUUUUU